UACGUAGGGGGCAAGCGUUGUCCGGAUUUAUUGGGCGUAAAGAGCGUGUAGGCGGCUAGAUAGGUCCGUUGUGAAAACUCGAGGCUCAACCUCGAGACGUCGAUGGAAACCAUCUGGCUAGAGUCCGGAAGAGGAGAGUGGAAUUCCUGGUGUAGCGGUGAAAUGCGCAGAUAUCAGGAGGAACACCAAUGGCGAAGGCAGCUCGCUGGGACGUGACUGACGCUGAGACGCGAAAGCGUGGGGAGCAAACAGG
This 253-nucleotide ribosomal RNA is filed under the name uncultured bacterium. Its description in RNAcentral is "partial 16S ribosomal RNA". It matches the Rfam family "Bacterial small subunit ribosomal RNA", at positions 524 to 776 of the family's 1533-position model. The record is from RNAcentral.